Molecule: non-coding RNA, 1155 nt
Organism: Myotis daubentonii (Daubenton's bat)
Lineage: Eukaryota; Metazoa; Chordata; Mammalia; Chiroptera; Vespertilionidae
Source: the annotation of a RefSeq genome assembly
UGUGCCCCACACAAGGCCCCAGGGGCCCAGCCAGGCUGGCAGCUGUGGUGGGGGCAGUUGAACCCUGGAUCCUGACCACAGCAUGGCAGUUGGCAGAUGCCCCGCUGGGAGAGACCCUCAGGAGUAACGGCCAUGGCCCUGGAGGGGGCGGGGCACUGGGGGCAGCGACCAGAAAAGGCCCGGGCGGAUGAGAGGGCCAUGGCCCGGGCGCACUGGGACAGUCACUGUCAGCGAGAGGGACAGAGGCACCUGCCGACCUAACCCUCCCCACUGGACGCGUACGCCAGCAGGUCAGCCAGGGGUGCCUUUGACUCUGAGCGCAGAUGAGGCCCAGAAUAGGGCCGGUGGGCUAUGAGGCCCGCAGGGGGCAGAGCCCUGGCUUCAGGCAGCACUGGCCCCUGAUGCUGCUGGGCCUGGCCGUGGGCGCCCAUGGCCUGCUGUCCUCGACCACGGCACCUCACAGCAGGGCUCCAAGCUCUGGAGCCCCGACAAGGAGCAGCCCUAGGAGCCUGUGGGGAAGCAGGUUCCUGCUCAGGACCGGCCCCCAGGGGACAGGCCCCAGGUGCUGGCCCGGCGGGUUUUGGUCCGAUCUUCAGUCGCCGUGGUACGUCUUCAGCAGCGGGACCCAGCUCAUCGUCCUGGGUCAGCCCGCGUCCGCACCCUCGGUCACUCUGUUCCCGCCCUCCUCUGAGGAGCUCCACACCAACAAGGCCACGCUGGUGUGUCUCAUCAGCGGCUUCUACCCGGGCAGCGUGACGGUGGCCUGGAAGGCCAACGGCAACCCCGUCAGCCAGGGCGUGGAGACCACCAAGCCCUGGAGACAGAGCAACAACAAGUACGCGGCCAGCAGCUACCUGAGCCUGACGCCCGACAAGUGGAAAUCUGGCGGCAGCUACAGCUGCCAGGUCACGCACGAGGGGGGCACCGUGGAGAAGACCGUGGUCCCCGCGGAGUGUUCCUAGGGCCCUGAGCCCCCCACCCUCGGGGGCUGGAGCCUGGGCACCUCUGGGAGGGUCUUUCCUUCCACCUGAGUCAUCCCCAGCCCCAGCCCGGCUCCCUGAACCCCAUCAAUUCUCAAAACGUUCUAGUCAAUCAGAACCCAUGCUCUCUGCUCAUUCUUGUCUAGUCUCGUAUUUAACCUGUGGCUUCCCCUGG